RNAcentral lists this small RNA (446 nucleotides) under Histoplasma capsulatum. Its description in RNAcentral is "hypothetical RNA". RNAcentral also lists the same sequence under 1 other name. The record is from RNAcentral. Lineage: Eukaryota; Fungi; Ascomycota; Eurotiomycetes; Onygenales; Ajellomycetaceae.
ACCUGCGCAAUGGGACGAAUCAAUCUUCUUCAGUCCUUUCCACCGAGCCUCCAAGUUCAUUCCUUCACACACCACGUCGGUACUCUGCCUCUGGUAGGACAGACGGUGAUGUCCCUUCUAACGCUUAGCGUGUGUGCCUGGGCUAGCUCUGAAACAAGAAAGGGCGUCUAAUCAUGGCUGAUUAGUGGCACCGAUCUUUAGAUGGUCCAUGUGGAAAAAGUGAUACGUUGCCGAAAAGCGCUGUGAUCAAAUUGGCCCGGAUGGCAUUUCCAUAAAUAUGACUCGUUGUACAGUCCGCUAUCGGUCUCGAGACUUACAAAAAGGACAGUUGGAUUUUCCUCAUGUUUGAAUGGAGUGGUGAUUGGUGAGCAAGACGCGCCUGAUGGACAGGAAAGAAGUGAUAGAUCAUGCUAAAUAUUCACAGAAAAGGAAAUGAGCAGAAUGAU